Molecule: long non-coding RNA, 767 nt
Filed under: Cricetulus griseus (Chinese hamster)
Lineage: Eukaryota; Metazoa; Chordata; Mammalia; Rodentia; Cricetidae
Description: lncRNA (ENSCGRG00015035756.1)
Source: RNAcentral
CUUAGUUGCGUCUUCUUGAUCUGUCUCGUGCUUCCGUUAUUUAGAUGGAGUCAGUUUUCCAGGAGUGUUGAGAAUGAGAGCAUUCUCUUCCCCCUUCCUGUGAGACAAACUUACUAAACAAGAGUGCCAGGUGGGAACUCAAGGACAGAAGCAGAGGUAACGAGUCAGCUGGUUCUGCAUUUGUCAUCGUUCGCUGUUCCUUCUUUGGAGGGGAGUUAUUUUCCCUGAGCUGGGACCACAGGGACAGGUUUGAGGAGACAGCGCAUGGUUGCUUGUGCGGCCUGGUGUGAAGAGGACCGGCUAACCCUGCAGAGGGUGUCAACUUAAGGUGGGGUUUGUGUUAAAUGGUGUCUGAGUGUCUUAUUUUCCCUUUAUUAAAAAGCUUGUUUUGUAUUGAAUUUAUGCAAAGACAUGGUGAUGGGGAAGGUAGUGGGAAUUGUUUGUAGGUUGAUUAUUGGGUUAGAGUGAUGGCUCUGAAUGUCUGACUGUCUGUCUGUCUGUCUCUCUGUCUGUCCAUCCGUCCGUCCCUUUCCCCACCUCCAGAAUCUCCCAGCAGGAGAGGUUAAACUAUCCAGAGUUAGGAACUUCAUUUUAGGUACUGAGUUUCUGGGCCACAAUGAAGUCUACUUACUUGAGUAAGCAAAAAAGAGACUGAUUGAUGCUCUCAGUUGCUGAGCCCCUUGCCCAACACCACCCAAUGCUGACUGAUUAGUUACCAUUUUUAGAACAGCAGCAUCUUUAGAUGGGAAUUUUUAUUUGGAAAACGG